RNAcentral lists this ribosomal RNA (253 nucleotides) under uncultured bacterium. RNAcentral's name for it is "partial 16S ribosomal RNA". It matches the Rfam family "Bacterial small subunit ribosomal RNA", at positions 524 to 776 of the family's 1533-position model. The record is from RNAcentral.
UACAGAGGGGGCUAGCGUUGUUCGGAAUUACUGGGCGUAAAGGGCGCGUAGGCGGCCCUCUAAGUCGAACGUGAAAUCCCCGGGCUCAACCCGGGAACUGCGUCCGAUACUGGAGGGCUCGAAUCCGGGAGAGGGAUGUGGAAUUCCAGGUGUAGCGGUGAAAUGCGUAGAUAUCUGGAGGAACACCGGUGGCGAAGGCGGCAUCCUGGACCGGCAUUGACGCUGAUGAGCGAAAGCUAGGGGAGCAAACGGG